GGUUAAUGUAAUUUAUAGCAAUAAGUAAAUAGUUAUUUAGUUUCUCCGCAUAAUUUUAAUCAUCCAUUAGAAUCUGAUGCCCUGAGUUGAACAAACAUGAUCCUUCUUGUCAAAGUACAUAAUUUGCAUAGGUCAAUUCACAUGCAAACGCUUCCCUAAAUUCUCCUAAAUGGUAACUGCUCAAGCUCUAUGGAUUCGAGUUUAUUC
This 207-nucleotide unclassified non-coding RNA is filed under the name Hevea brasiliensis (rubber tree). The record is from RNAcentral. Lineage: Eukaryota; Viridiplantae; Streptophyta; Magnoliopsida; Malpighiales; Euphorbiaceae.